This 275-nucleotide ribosomal RNA is filed under the name uncultured bacterium. RNAcentral describes it as "partial 16S ribosomal RNA". It matches the Rfam family "Bacterial small subunit ribosomal RNA", at positions 335 to 602 of the family's 1533-position model. The record is from RNAcentral.
UACCUACGGGGCGCAGCAGUUAGGAAUAUUCGUCAAUGGGGGAAACCCUGAACGAGCAAUGCCGCGUGAACGAUGACGGUCCUCUGGAUUGUAAAGUUCUGUUGUUUGGGAAGAACGGCUCUAAUAGGAAAUGAUUAGAGAUUGACUGUACCAUUCAAGAAAGCCACGGCUAACUACGUGCCAGCAGCCGCGGUAAUACGUAUGGUGCAAGCGUUAUCCGGAUUUACUGGGUGUAAAGGGAGCGCAGGCGGCACGGCAAGCCUGAUGUGAAAGCC